Molecule: ribosomal RNA, 329 nt
Filed under: uncultured Prevotella sp.
Lineage: Bacteria; Pseudomonadati; Bacteroidota; Bacteroidia; Bacteroidales; Prevotellaceae
Description: bacterial SSU rRNA
Rfam family: Bacterial small subunit ribosomal RNA
Source: RNAcentral
UGAGGGAAUAUUUGGGGUCAAUGGACGGAAGUCUGAACCAGCCAAGUAGCGUGCAGGACGACGGCCCUAUGGGUUGUAAACUGCUUUUAUGUGGGAAUAAAGUGAGGGACGUGUCCCUUUUUGUAGGUACCACAUGAAUAAGGACCGGCUAAUUCCGUGCCAGCAGCCGCGGUAAUACGGAAGGUCCGGGCGUUAUCCGGAUUUAUUGGGUUUAAAGGGAGCGUAGGCCGUCUUUUAAGCGUGUUGUGAAAUACUGUCGCUCAACGACAGAGGUGCAGCGCGAACUGGGAGACUUGAGUGCGCGGAAUGCAGGCGGAAUUCGUCGUGUA